GACGUAGGAUGCAAGCGUUGUCCGGAUUUAUUGGGCGUAAAGAGUUCGUAGGCGGCUUGUUAAGUCUGGUGUUAAAGACUGGAGCUCAACUCCGGGAGUGCACUGGAUACUGGCAAGCUUGAGUAUGGUAGAGGCGAGCGGAAUUCCCAGUGUAGCGGUGAAAUGCGUAGAUAUUGGGAAGAACACCGGUGGCGCAAGCGGCUCGCUGGGCCAUUACUGACGCUGAGGAACGAAAGCUAGGGUAGCGAAUGGG
Molecule: ribosomal RNA, 253 nt
Filed under: uncultured bacterium
Lineage: Bacteria
Description: partial 16S ribosomal RNA
Rfam family: Bacterial small subunit ribosomal RNA
Source: RNAcentral